Asparagus officinalis (garden asparagus) is the source of this 480-nucleotide long non-coding RNA. RefSeq lists it as uncharacterized. The transcript is spliced from 4 exons. Lineage: Eukaryota; Viridiplantae; Streptophyta; Magnoliopsida; Asparagales; Asparagaceae. The record is from RefSeq and is a predicted model, not a curated record.
GUUGUUCCUCCAAUCCUUACGGAGCUAGGGAAGGUUAAGAAUCCAUGGCCUAAUGUUGACGCCCACAGUGGUGUUUUACUGAAUCAUUUCGGUUUGACUGAAGCUAGAAUGACCAGGGAAUAGACAAACAUAUGGAAGCAGAAAAAAGUUAUGUGUCAACCUUUUCAAAACAGAAGAUCAUUUGAGGAAAAUUGAUGGUGGCUAAAACAAGUUAAUCCAUAUGUGCUUUUCACUUACUGUGAGAUUAGCUCUAUCCAGACAAUUUACAAAUUAUGUAUAUCAAUGGAGACCUUUAAACAGAAGACAUUUUUUGUUUUAAUGAAAGAGGAAUUUUAGUCAUGCACUUUGGAAAAAAGAAAAAAAACUUGUACUGUAUAAUGCCAUUGUAAUGAACCAAUGAAUUGUUCCUUAUGUUUAGUUGUUUGCUUGGAAAUGAAAAUGAAUGUAACUAUUUUGCAAUGGGAGCAAAUUCUUUGUUUA